UACUGGGGAGCGAAAUUUGCUGAGAAUUAAACCCAUAUAACCUGAUACAGGUAAUACUGUCGGAGGGAGUAUUUUAUAUA
RNAcentral lists this non-coding RNA (80 nucleotides) under Leptotrichia wadei. Its description in RNAcentral is "TPP riboswitch (THI element)". The stretch from base 1 to 71 matches the Rfam family "TPP riboswitch aptamer (THI element)", at positions 8 to 91 of the family's 105-position model. From Rfam's summary of the family: Vitamin B(1) in its active form thiamin pyrophosphate (TPP) is an essential coenzyme that is synthesised by coupling of pyrimidine and thiazole moieties in bacteria. The previously detected thiamin-regulatory element, thi box was extended, resulting in a new, highly conserved RNA secondary structure, the THI element, which is widely distributed in eubacteria and also occurs in some archaea. Lineage: Bacteria; Fusobacteriati; Fusobacteriota; Fusobacteriia; Fusobacteriales; Leptotrichiaceae. The record is from RNAcentral.